GACGAACGCUGGCGGCGUGCCUAAUACAUGCAAGUCGAACGCUGAAGAGAGGAGCUUACUCUUCUUGGAUGAGUUGCGAACGGGUGAGUAACGCGUAGGUAACCUGCCUUUUAGCGGGGGAUAACUAUUGGAAACGAUAGCUAAUACCGCAUAACAAUGUAUAACACAUGUCAUUUAUGUGAAAGGGGCAAUUGCUCCACUACAAGAUGGACCUGCGUUGUAUUAGCUAGUAGGUGAGGUAAUGGCUCACCUAGGCGACCAUACAUAGCCGACCUGAGAGGGUGAACGGGCAACACGGGAACGAGGCAACGGCCCAGACCCCACGGGAAGGAGCCGUAAGGAAUCUUCGGGAAUGGGGGCAACCCUGAACGAGCCACGCCGCGUGAGUGAAGAAGGUUUUUGGGUCGUAAAGACCUGUUGUAAGGCAAGAACGAGUGUGGGAGUGGAAAGUUCACACCGUGACGGUAGCUUACCAGAAAGCCACGGCUAACUACGUG
This 497-nucleotide ribosomal RNA is filed under the name uncultured bacterium. Its description in RNAcentral is "partial 16S ribosomal RNA". It matches the Rfam family "Bacterial small subunit ribosomal RNA", at positions 28 to 507 of the family's 1533-position model. The record is from RNAcentral.